This 296-nucleotide ribosomal RNA is filed under the name uncultured bacterium. Its description in RNAcentral is "partial 16S ribosomal RNA". It matches the Rfam family "Bacterial small subunit ribosomal RNA", at positions 524 to 825 of the family's 1533-position model. The record is from RNAcentral.
UACGUAGGGUGCGAGCAUUAAUCGGAAUUACUGGGCGUAAAGCGUGCGCAGGCGGUUUUGUAAGCCAGAUGUGAAAUCCCCGGGCUUAACCUGGGAAUGGCAUUUGGGACUGCAAGGCUUGAGUGCGGCAGAGGAGACGUGGAAUUCCUGGUGUAGCAGUGAAAUGCGUAGAUAUCAGGAGGAACACCGAUGGCGAAGGCAGGUCUCUGGGCUGACACUGACGCUCAUGCACGAAAGCGUGGGGAGCAACAGGAUAGAAACCAGUAAGAUCCAGACCAGUCUCGUGCUAACCGUAA